This 408-nucleotide long non-coding RNA is filed under the name Salvia miltiorrhiza (redroot sage). Its description in RNAcentral is "long non-coding RNA (SMIL_LNC004716)". Lineage: Eukaryota; Viridiplantae; Streptophyta; Magnoliopsida; Lamiales; Lamiaceae. The record is from RNAcentral.
CAAGAAAUGAAGCCCAAAAUCACAUCUUGUAUGGGUGAUUCUCCAUCAGCUACCUGGGGCAUUCACCAGCUUGUGAAGUUGUGAGGUAAUGAAGGAUAUGAAUAAGAGAAUAUCAAUUGGGAAUUCUAUCAGUGCAGUUCAUCAUUAGAUGCAUCAGUACAUAUCUUCUGAUUGUACUAAACUUUUCUAAGCCUACCGCAAGCAGGUCAGGAGCCAUAACUCAUGGCGAUAGCUGAUUCUGACAGUAUUUAAACUCAAUAUAUUAAGAUAUGUAAAUAACACACAAGAAUUUCCUUCCCUUGCUGUCUACAUUUUUAUAUUUGUUCUUUUUCCCUUUCUGUUUUGGGCAGAAAAACGCACUGGCAAAUGAAAAAGUUCUCAUUGAGUAGUCAAAAAACAUAUACCGUG